This 14768-nucleotide long non-coding RNA is filed under the name Xyrichtys novacula (pearly razorfish). Lineage: Eukaryota; Metazoa; Chordata; Actinopteri; Labriformes; Labridae. The record is from RNAcentral.
GGUUAGGGUUAGGGUUGCAGUUAGGGUUAGUGUUGGAGCUAGGGUUAGGGUUGGGCUUGGAGCUAGGAUUUUUCUGAGUGAACUGAACCAACUCCCGAGUCUCUAGGACAUUCCUAAAAAAAUUUGAUUUUUUCCCAUAGGAAUGCAUGGGUUAGGGUUAUGGUUAGGGUUAGGGUUGGAGCUAGGGUUAGGGUUAGGGUUAGGGUUGGAGUUAGGGUUAGUGUUGGAGCUAGGGUUAGGGUUGGGCUUGGAGCUAGGAUUUUUCUGAGUGCACUGAACCAACUCCCGAGUCUCUAGGACGUUCCUAAAAAAAUUUGAUUUUUUCCCAUAGGAAUGCAUGGGUUAGGGUUAGGGUUAGGGUUGGAGCUAGGGUUAGGGUUAGGGUUAGGGUUGGAGUUAGGGUUAGUGUUGGAGCUAGGGUUAGGGUUGGGCUUGGAGCUAGGAUUUUUCUGAGUGCACUGAACCAACUCCCGAGUCUCUAGGACAUUCCUAAAAAAAAUUGAGUUUUUCCCAUAGGAAUGCAUGGGUUAGGGUUAGGGUUAGGGUUGGAGCUAGGGUUAGGGUUAGGGUUAGGGUUGGAGUUAGGGUUAGUGUUGGAGCUAGGGUUAGGGUUGGGCUUGGAGCUAGGAUUUUUCUGAGUGCACUGAACCAACUCCCGAGUCUCUAGGACAUUCCUAAAAAAAUUUGAUUUUUUCCCAUAGGAAUGCAUGGGUUAGGGUUAUGGUUAGGGUUAGGGUUGGAGCUAGGGUUAGGGUUAGGGUUAGGGUUGGAGUUAGGGUUAGUGUUGGAGCUAGGGUUAGGGUUGGGCUUGGAGCUAGGAUUUUUCUGAGUGCACUGAACCAACUCCCGAGUCUCUAGGACAUUCCUAAAAAAAUUUGAUUUUUUCCCAUAGGAAUGCAUGGGUUAGGGUUAUGGUUAGGGUUAGGGUUGGAGCUAGGGUUAGGGUUAGGGUUAGGGUUGGAGUUAGGGUUAGUGUUGGAGCUAGGGUUAGGGUUGGGCUUGGAGCUAGGAUUUUUCUGAGUGCACUGAACCAACUCCCGAGUCUCUAGGACAUUCCUAAAAAAAUUUGAUUUUUUCCCAUAGGAAUGCAUGGGUUAGGGUUAUGGUUAGGGUUAGGGUUGGAGCUAGGGUUAGGGUUAGGGUUAGGGUUGGAGUUAGGGUUAGUGUUGGAGCUAGGGUUAGGGUUGGGCUUGGAGCUAGGAUUUUUCUGAGUGCACUGAACCAACUCCCGAGUCUCUAGGACAUUCCUAAAAAAAUUUGAUUUUUUCCCAUAGGAAUGCAUGGGUUAGGGUUAUGGUUAGGGUUAGGGUUGGAGCUAGGGUUAGGGUUAGGGUUAGGGUUGGAGUUAGGGUUAGUGUUGGAGCUAGGGUUAGGGUUGGGCUUGGAGCUAGGAUUUUUCUGAGUGCACUGAACCAACUCCCGAGUCUCUAGGACGUUCCUAAAAAAAUUUGAUUUUUUCCCAUAGGAAUGCAUGGGUUAGGGUUAGGGUUAGGGUUGGAGCUAGGGUUAGGGUUAGGGUUAGGGUUGGAGUUAGGGUUAGUGUUGGAGCUAGGGUUAGGGUUGGGCUUGGAGCUAGGAUUUUUCUGAGUGCACUGAACCAACUCCCGAGUCUCUAGGACAUUCCUAAAAAAAUUUGAGUUUUUCCCAUAGGAAUGCAUGGGUUAGGGUUAGGGUUAGGGUUGGAGCUAGGGUUAGGGUUAGGGUUAGGGUUGGAGUUAGGGUUAGUGUUGGAGCUAGGGUUAGGGUUGGGCUUGGAGCUAGGAUUUUUCUGAGUGCACUGAACCAACUCCCGAGUCUCUAGGACAUUCCUAAAAAAAUUUGAUUUUUUCCCAUAGGAAUGCAUGGGUUAGGGUUAUGGUUAGGGUUAGGGUUGGAGCUAGGGUUAGGGUUAGGGUUAGGGUUGGAGUUAGGGUUAGUGUUGGAGCUAGGGUUAGGGUUGGGCUUGGAGCUAGGAUUUUUCUGAGUGCACUGAACCAACUCCCGAGUCUCUAGGACAUUCCUAAAAAAAUUGAUUUUUUCCCAUAGGAAUGCAUGGGUUAGGGUUAUGGUUAGGGUUAGGGUUGGAGCUAGGGUUAGGGUUAGGGUUAGGGUUGGAGUUAGGGUUAGUGUUGGAGCUAGGGUUAGGGUUGGGCUUGGAGCUAGGAUUUUUCUGAGUGCACUGAACCAACUCCCGAGUCUCUAGGACAUUCCUAAAAAAAUUUGAUUUUUUCCCAUAGGAAUGCAUGGGUUAGGGUUAUGGUUAGGGUUAGGGUUGGAGCUAGGGUUAGGGUUAGGGUUAGGGUUGGAGUUAGAGUUAGUGUUGGAGCUAGGGUUAGGGUUGGGCUUGGAGCUAGGAUUUUUCUGAGUGCACUGAACCAACUCCCGAGUCUCUAGGACAUUCCUAAAAAAAUUUGAUUUUUUCCCAUAGGAAUGCAUGGGUUAGGGUUAUGGUUAGGGUUAGGGUUGGAGCUAGGGUUAGGGUUAGGGUUAGGGUUGGAGUUAGGGUUAGUGUUGGAGCUAGGGUUAGGGUUGGGCUUGGAGCUAGGAUUUUUCUGAGUGCACUGAACCAACUCCCGAGUCUCUAGGACAUUCCUAAAAAAAUUUGAUUUUUUCCCAUAGGAAUGCAUGGGUUAGGGUUAUGGUUAGGGUUAGGGUUGGAGCUAGGGUUAGGGUUAGGGUUAGGGUUGGAGUUAGGGUUAGUGUUGGAGCUAGGGUUAGGGUUGGGCUUGGAGCUAGGAUUUUUCUGAGUGCACUGAACCAACUCCCGAGUCUCUAGGACAUUCCUAAAAAAAUUUGAGUUUUUCCCAUAGGAAUGCAUGGGUUAGGGUUAGGGUUAGGGUUGGAGCUAGGGUUAGGGUUAGGGUUAGGGUUGCAGUUAGGGUUAGUGUUGGAGCUAGGGUUAGGGUUGGGCUUGGAGCUAGGAUUUUUCUGAGUGCACUGAACCAACUCCCGAGUCUCUAGGACAUUCCUAAAAAAAUUUGAUUUUUUCCCAUAGGAAUGCAUGGGUUAGGGUUAUGGUUAGGGUUAGGGUUGGAGCUAGGGUUAGGGUUAGGGUUAGGGUUGGAGUUAGAGUUAGUGUUGGAGCUAGGGUUAGGGUUGGGCUUGGAGCUAGGAUUUUUCUGAGUGCACUGAACCAACUCCCGAGUCUCUAGGACAUUCCUAAAAAAAUUUGAUUUUUUCCCAUAGGAAUGCAUGGGUUAGGGUUAUGGUUAGGGUUAGGGUUGGAGCUAGGGUUAGGGUUAGGGUUAGGGUUGGAGUUAGGGUUAGUGUUGGAGCUAGGGUUAGGGUUGGGCUUGGAGCUAGGAUUUUUCUGAGUGCACUGAACCAACUCCCGAGUCUCUAGGACGUUCCUAAAAAAAUUUGAUUUUUUCCCAUAGGAAUGCAUGGGUUAGGGUUAGGGUUAGGGUUGGAGCUAGGGUUAGGGUUAGGGUUAGGGUUGGAGUUAGGGUUAGUGUUGGAGCUAGGGUUAGGGUUGGGCUUGGAGCUAGGAUUUUUCUGAGUGCACUGAACCAACUCCCGAGUCUCUAGGACAUUCCUAAAAAAAUUUGAGUUUUUCCCAUAGGAAUGCAUGGGUUAGGGUUAGGGUUAGGGUUGGAGCUAGGGUUAGGGUUAGGGUUAGGGUUGGAGUUAGGGUUAGUGUUGGAGCUAGGGUUAGGGUUGGGCUUGGAGCUAGGAUUUUUCUGAGUGCACUGAACCAACUCCCGAGUCUCUAGGACAUUCCUAAAAAAAUUUGAUUUUUUUCCCAUAGGAAUGCAUGGGUUAGGGUUAUGGUUAGGGUUAGGGUUGGAGCUAGGGUUAGGGUUAGGGUUAGGGUUGGAGUUAGGGUUAGUGUUGGAGCUAGGGUUAGGGUUGGGCUUGGAGCUAGGAUUUUUCUGAGUGCACUGAACCAACUCCCGAGUCUCUAGGACAUUCCUAAAAAAUUUGAUUUUUUCCCAUAGGAAUGCAUGGGUUAGGGUUAGGGUUAGGGUUGGAGCUAGGGUUAGGGUUAGGGUUAGGGUUGGAGUUAGGGUUAGUGUUGGAGCUAGGGUUAGGGUUGGGCUUGGAGCUAGGAUUUUUCUGAGUGCACUGAACCAACUCCCGAGUCUCUAGGACAUUCCUAAAAAAAUUUGAUUUUUUCCCAUAGGAAUGCAUGGGUUAGGGUUAUGGUUAGGGUUAGGGUUGGAGCUAGGGUUAGGGUUAGGGUUAGGGUUGGAGUUAGGGUUAGUGUUGGAGCUAGGGUUAGGGUUGGGCUUGGAGCUAGGAUUUUUCUGAGUGCACUGAACCAACUCCCGAGUCUCUAGGACAUUCCUAAAAAAAUUUGAUUUUUUUCCCAUAGGAAUGCAUGGGUUAGGGUUAUGGUUAGGGUUAGGGUUGGAGCUAGGGUUAGGGUUAGGGUUAGGGUUGGAGUUAGGGUUAGUGUUGGAGCUAGGGUUAGGGUUGGGCUUGGAGCUAGGAUUUUUCUGAGUGCACUGAACCAACUCCCGAGUCUCUAGGACGUUCCUAAAAAAAUUUGAUUUUUUCCCAUAGGAAUGCAUGGGUUAGGGUUAGGGUUAGGGUUGGAGCUAGGGUUAGGGUUAGGGUUAGGGUUGGAGUUAGGGUUAGUGUUGGAGCUAGGGUUAGGGUUGGGCUUGGAGCUAGGAUUUUUCUGAGUGCACUGAACCAACUCCCGAGUCUCUAGGACAUUCCUAAAAAAAUUUGAUUUUUUCCCAUAGGAAUGCAUGGGUUAGGGUUAUGGUUAGGGUUAGGGUUGGAGCUAGGGUUAGGGUUAGGGUUAGGGUUGGAGUUAGGGUUAGUGUUGGAGCUAGGGUUAGGGUUGGGCUUGGAGCUAGGAUUUUUCUGAGUGCACUGAACCAACUCCCGAGUCUCUAGGACAUUCCUAAAAAAAUUUGAUUUUUUCCCAUAGGAAUGCAUGGGUUAGGGUUAGGGUUAGGGUUGGAGCUAGGGUUAGGGUUAGGGUUGGAGUUAGGGUUAGUGUUGGAGCUAGGGUUAGGGUUGGGCUUGGAGCUAGGAUUUUUCUGAGUGCACUGAACCAACUCCCGAGUCUCUAGGACAUUCCUAAAAAAAUUUGAUUUUUUCCCAUAGGAAUGCAUGGGUUAGGGUUAUGGUUAGCGUUAGGGUUGGAGCUAGGGUUAGGGUUAGGGUUGGAGUUAGGGUUAGUGUUGGAGCUAGGGUUAGGGUUGGGCUUGGAGCUAGGAUUUUUCUGAGUGCACUGAACCAACUCCCGAGUCUCUAGGACAUUCCUAAAAAAAUUUGAUUUUUUCCCAUAGGAAUGCAUGGGUUAGGGUUAUGGUUAGGGUUAGGGUUGGAGCUAGGGUUAGGGUUAGGGUUAGGGUUGGAGUUAGGGUUAGUGUUGGAGCUAGGGUUAGGGUUGGGCUUGGAGCUAGGAUUUUUCUGAGUGCACUGAACCAACUCCCGAGUCUCUAGGACAUUCCUAAAAAAAUUUGAUUUUUUCCCAUAGGAAUGCAUGGGUUAGGGUUAUGGUUAGGGUUAGGGUUGGAGCUAGGGUUAGGGUUAGGUUUAGGGUUGGAGUUAGGGUUAGUGUUGGAGCUAGGGUUAGGGUUGGGCUUGGAGCUAGGAUUUUUCUGAGUGCACUGAACCAACUCCCGAGUCUCUAGGACAUUCCUAAAAAAAUUUGAUUUUUUCCCAUAGGAAUGCAUGGGUUAGGGUUAUGGUUAGGGUUAGGGUUGGAGCUAGGGUUAGGGUUAGGGUUAGGGUUGGAGUUAGGGUUAGUGUUGGAGCUAGGGUUAGGGUUGGGCUUGGAGCUAGGAUUUUUCUGAGUGCACUGAACCAACUCCCGAGUCUCUAGGACGUUCCUAAAAAAAUUUGAUUUUUUCCCAUAGGAAUGCAUGGGUUAGGGUUAGGGUUAGGGUUGGAGCUAGGGUUAGGGUUAGGGUUAGGGUUGGAGUUAGGGUUAGUGUUGGAGCUAGGGUUAGGGUUGGGCUUGGAGCUAGGAUUUUUCUGAGUGCACUGAACCAACUCCCGAGUCUCUAGGACAUUCCUAAAAAAAUUUGAGUUUUUCCCAUAGGAAUGCAUGGGUUAGGGUUAGGGUUAGGGUUGGAGCUAGGGUUAGGGUUAGGGUUAGGGUUGGAGUUAGGGUUAGUGUUGGAGCUAGGGUUAGGGUUGGGCUUGGAGCUAGGAUUUUUCUGAGUGCACUGAACCAACUCCCGAGUCUCUAGGACAUUCCUAAAAAAAUUUGAUUUUUUCCCAUAGGAAUGCAUGGGUUAGGGUUAUGGUUAGGGUUAGGGUUGGAGCUAGGGUUAGGGUUAGGGUUAGGGUUGGAGUUAGGGUUAGUGUUGGAGCUAGGGUUAGGGUUGGGCUUGGAGCUAGGAUUUUUCUGAGUGCACUGAACCAACUCCCGAGUCUCUAGGACAUUCCUAAAAAAAUUUGAUUUUUUCCCAUAGGAAUGCAUGGGUUAGGGUUAUGGUUAGGGUUAGGGUUGGAGCUAGGGUUGGAGUUAGGGUUAGGGUUGGAGUUAGGGUUAGUGUUGGAGCUAGGGUUAGGGUUGGGCUUGGAGCUAGGAUUUUUCUGAGUGCACUGAACCAACUCCCGAGUCUCUAGGACAUUCCUAAAAAAAUUUGAUUUUUUCCCAUAGGAAUGCAUGGGUUAGGGUUAUGGUUAGGGUUAGGGUUGGAGCUAGGGUUAGGGUUAGGGUUAGGGUUGGAGUUAGAGUUAGUGUUGGAGCUAGGGUUAGGGUUGGGCUUGGAGCUAGGAUUUUUCUGAGUGCACUGAACCAACUCCCGAGUCUCUAGGACAUUCCUAAAAAAAUUUGAUUUUUUCCCAUAGGAAUGCAUGGGUUAGGGUUAUGGUUAGGGUUAGGGUUGGAGCUAGGGUUUGUGUUAGGGUUAGGGUUGGAGUUAGGGUUAGUGUUGGAGCUAGGGUUAGGGUUGGGCUUGGAGCUAGGAUUUUUCUGAGUGCACUGAACCAACUCCCGAGUCUCUAGGACAUUCCUAAAAAAAUUUGAUUUUUUCCCAUAGGAAUGCAUGGGUUAGGGUUAUGGUUAGGGUUAGGGUUGGAGCUAGGGUUAGGGUUAGGGUUAGGGUUGGAGUUAGGGUUAGUGUUGGAGCUAGGGUUAGGGUUGGGCUUGGAGCUAGGAUUUUUCUGAGUGCACUGAACCAACUCCCGAGUCUCUAGGACAUUCCUAAAAAAAUUUGAGUUUUUCCCAUAGGAAUGCAUGGGUUAGGGUUAGGGUUAGGGUUGGAGCUAGGGUUAGGGUUAGGGUUAGGGUUGGAGUUAGGGUUAGUGUUGGAGCUAGGGUUAGGGUUGGGCUUGGAGCUAGGAUUUUUCUGAGUGCACUGAACCAACUCCCGAGUCUCUAGGACAUUCCUAAAAAAAUUUGAUUUUUUCCCAUAGGAAUGCAUGGGUUAGGGUUAUGGUUAGGGUUAGGGUUGGAGCUAGGGUUAGGGUUAGGGUUAGGGUUGGAGUUAGGGUUAGUGUUGGAGCUAGGGUUAGGGUUGGGCUUGGAGCUAGGAUUUUUCUGAGUGCACUGAACCAACUCCCGAGUCUCUAGGACAUUCCUAAAAAAAUUUGAUUUUUUCCCAUAGGAAUGCAUGGGUUAGGGUUAUGGUUAGGGUUAGGGUUGGAGCUAGGGUUAGGGUUAGGGUUAGGGUUGGAGUUAGGGUUAGUGUUGGAGCUAGGGUUAGGGUUGGGCUUGGAGCUAGGAUUUUUCUGAGUGCACUGAACCAACUCCCGAGUCUCUAGGACGUUCCUAAAAAAAUUUGAUUUUUUCCCAUAGGAAUGCAUGGGUUAGGGUUAGGGUUAGGGUUGGAGCUAGGGUUAGGGUUAGGGUUAGGGUUGGAGUUAGGGUUAGUGUUGGAGCUAGGGUUAGGGUUGGGCUUGGAGCUAGGAUUUUUCUGAGUGCACUGAACCAACUCCCGAGUCUCUAGGACAUUCCUAAAAAAAUUUGAGUUUUUCCCAUAGGAAUGCAUGGGUUAGGGUUAGGGUUAGGGUUGGAGCUAGGGUUAGGGUUAGGGUUAGGGUUGGAGUUAGGGUUAGUGUUGGAGCUAGGGUUAGGGUUGGGCUUGGAGCUAGGAUUUUUCUGAGUGCACUGAACCAACUCCCGAGUCUCUAGGACAUUCCUAAAAAAAUUUGAUUUUUUCCCAUAGGAAUGCAUGGGUUAGGGUUAGGGUUAGGGUUAGGGUUGGAGCUAGGGUUAGGGUUAGGGUUAGGGUUGGAGUUAGGGUUAGUGUUGGAGCUAGGGUUAGGGUUGGGCUUGGAGCUAGGAUUUUUCUGAGUGCACUGAACCAACUCCCGAGUCUCUAGGACGUUCCUAAAAAAAUUUGAUUUUUUCCCAUAGGAAUGCAUGGGUUAGGGUUAUGGUUAGGGUUAGGGUUUGAGCUAGGGUUAGGGUUAGGGUUAGGGUUGGAGUUAGGGUUAGUGUUGGAGCUAGGGUUAGGGUUGGGCUUGGAGCUAGGAUUUUUCUGAGUGCACUGAACCAACUCCCGAGUCUCUAGGACGUUCCUAAAAAAAUUUGAUUUUUUCCCAUAGGAAUGCAUGGGUUAGGGUUAGGGUUAGGGUUGGAGCUAGGGUUAGGGUUAGGGUUAGGGUUGGAGUUAGGGUUAGUGUUGGAGCUAGGGUUAGGGUUGGGCUUGGAGCUAAGAUUUUUCUGAGUGCACUGAACCAACUCCCGAGUCUCUAGGACAUUCCUAAAAAAAUUUGAUUUUUUCCCAUAGGAAUGCAUGGGUUAGGGUUAUGGUUAGGGUUGGAGCUAGGGUUAGGGUUAGGGUUAGGGUUGGAGUUAGGGUUAGUGUUGGAGCUAGGGUUAGGGUUGGGCUUGGAGCUAGGAUUUUUCUGAGUGCACUGAACCAACUCCCGAGUCUCUAGGACAUUCCUAAAAAAUUUGAGUUUUUCCCAUAGGAAUGCAUGGGUUAGGGUUAGGGUUAGGGUUGGAGCUAGGGUUAGGGUUAGGGUUAGGGUUGGAGUUAGGGUUAGUGUUGGAGCUAGGGUUAGGGUUGGGCUUGGAGCUAGGAUUUUUCUGAGUGCACUGAACCAACUCCCGAGUCUCUAGGACAUUCCUAAAAAAAUUUGAUUUUUUCCCAUAGGAAUGCAUGGGUUAGGGUUAUGGUUAGGGUUGGAGCUAGGGUUAGGGUUAGGGUUAGGGUUGGAGUUAGGGUUAGUGUGUUGGAGCUAGGGUUAGGGUUGGGCUUGGAGCUAGGAUUUUUCUGAGUGCACUGAACCAACUCCCGAGUCUCUAGGACAUUCCUAAAAAAAUUUGAGUUUUUCCCAUAGGAAUGCAUGGGUUAGGGUUAGGGUUAGGGUUGGAGCUAGGGUUAGGGUUAGGGUUAGGGUUGGAGUUAGGGUUAGUGUUGGAGCUAGGGUUAGGGUUGGGCUUGGAGCUAGGAUUUUUCUGAGUGCACUGAACCAACUCCCGAGUCUCUAGGACAUUCCUAAAAAAAUUUGAUUUUUUCCCAUAGGAAUGCAUGGGUUAGGGUUAUGGUUAGGGUUAGGGUUGGAGCUAGGGUUAGGGUUAGGGUUAGGGUUGGAGUUAGGGUUAGUGUUGGAGCUAGGGUUAGGGUUGGGCUUGGAGCUAGGAUUUUUCUGAGUGCACUGAACCAACUCCCGAGUCUCUAGGACAUUCCUAAAAAAAUUUGAUUUUUUCCCAUAGGAAUGCAUGGGUUAGGGUUAUGGUUAGGGUUAGGGUUGGAGCUAGGGUUAGGGUUAGGGUUAGGGUUGGAGUUAGGGUUAGUGUUGGAGCUAGGGUUAGGGUUGGGCUUGGAGCUAGGAUUUUUCUGAGUGCACUGAACCAACUCCCGAGUCUCUAGGACAUUCCUAAAAAAAUUUGAUUUUUUCCCAUAGGAAUGCAUGGGUUAGGGUUAUGGUUAGGGUUAGGGUUGGAGCUAGGGUUAGGGUUAGGGUUAGGGUUGGAGUUAGGGUUAGUGUUGGAGCUAGGGUUAGGGUUGGGCUUGGAGCUAGGAUUUUUCUGAGUGCACUGAACCAACUCCCGAGUCUCUAGGACAUUCCUAAAAAAAUUUGAGUUUUUCCCAUAGGAAUGCAUGGGUUAGGGUUAUGGUUAGGGUUAGGGUUGGAGCUAGGGUUAGGGUUAGGGUUAGGGUUGGAGUUAGGGUUAGUGUUGGAGCUAGGGUUAGGGUUGGGCUUGGAGCUAGGAUUUUUCUGAGUGCACUGAACCAACUCCCGAGUCUCUAGGACAUUCCUAAAAAAAUUUGAUUUUUUUCCCAUAGGAAUGCAUGGGUUAGGGUUAUGGUUAGGGUUAGGGUUGGAGCUAGGGUUAGGGUUAGGGUUAGGGUUGGAGUUAGGGUUAGUGUUGGAGCUAGGGUUAGGGUUGGGCUUGGAGCUAGGAUUUUUCUGAGUGCAUUGAACCAACUCCCGAGUCUCUAGGACAUUCCUAAAAAAAAUUGAUUUUUUCCCAUAGGAAUGCAUGGGUUAGGGUUAUGGUUAGGGUUAGGGUUGGAGCUAGGGUUAGGGUUAGGGUUAGGGUUGGAGUUAGGGUUAGUGUUGGAGCUAGGGUUAGGGUUGGGCUUGGAGCUAGGAUUUUUCUGAGUGCCCUGAACCAACUCCCGAGUCUCUAGGACAUUCCUAAAAAAAUUUGAUUUUUUCCCAUAGGAAUGCAUGGGUUAGGGUUAUGGUUAGGGUUAGGGUUGGAGCUAGGGUUAGGGUUAGGGUUAGGGUUGGAGUUAGGGUUAGUGUUGGAGCUAGGGUUAGGGUUGGGCUUGGAGCUAGGAUUUUUCUGAGUGCACUGAACCAACUCCCGAGUCUCUAGGACAUUCCUAAAAAAAUUUGAUUUUUUCCCAUAGGAAUGCAUGGGUUAGGGUUAUGGUUAGGGUUAGGGUUGGAGCUAGGGUUAGGGUUAGGGUUAGGGUUGGAGUUAGGGUUAGUGUUGGAGCUAGGGUUAGGGUUGGGCUUGGAGCUAGGAUUUUUCUGAGUGCACUGAACCAACUCCCGAGUCUCUAGGACAUUCCUAAAAAAAUUUGAUUUUUUCCCAUAGGAAUGCAUGGGUUAGGGUUAGGGUUAGGGUUGGAGCUAGGGUUAGGGUUAGGGUUAGGGUUGGAGUUAGGGUUAGUGUUGGAGCUAGGGUUAGGGUUGGGCUUGGAGCUAGGAUUUUUCUGAGUGCACUGAACCAACUCCCGAGUCUCUAGGACAUUCCUAAAAAAAUUUGAGUUUUUCCCAUAGGAAUGCAUGGGUUAGGGUUAGGGUUAGGGUUGGAGCUAGGGUUAGGGUUAGGGUUAGGGUUGGAGUUAGGGUUAGUGUUGGAGCUAGGGUUAGGGUUGGGCUUGGAGCUAGGAUUUUUCUGAGUGCACUGAACCAACUCCCGAGUCUCUAGGACAUUCCUAAAAAAAUUUGAUUUUUUCCCAUAGGAAUGCAUGGGUUAGGGUUAGGGUUAGGGUUGGAGCUAGGGUUAGGGUUAGGGUUGCAGUUAGGGUUAGUGUUGGAGCUAGGGUUAGGGUUGGGCUUGGAGCUAGGAUUUUUCUGAGUGCACUGAACCAACUCCCGAGUCUCUAGGACAUUCCUAAAAAAAUUUGAUUUUUUCCCAUAGGAAUGCAUGGGUUAGGGUUAUGGUUAGGGUUAGGGUUGGAGCUAGGGUUAGGGUUAGGGUUAGGGUUGGAGUUAGAGUUAGUGUUGGAGCUAGGGUUAGGGUUGGGCUUGGAGCUAGGAUUUUUCUGAGUGCACUGAACCAACUCCCGAGUCUCUAGGACAUUCCUAAAAAAAUUUGAUUUUUUCCCAUAGGAAUGCAUGGGUUAGGGUUAUGGUUAGGGUUAGGGUUGGAGCUAGGGUUAGGGUUAGGGUUAGGGUUGGAGUUAGGGUUAGUGUUGGAGCUAGGGUUAGGGUUGGGCUUGGAGCUAGGAUUUUUCUGAGUGCACUGAACCAACUCCCGAGUCUCUAGGACGUUCCUAAAAAAAUUUGAUUUUUUCCCAUAGGAAUGCAUGGGUUAGGGUUAGGGUUAGGGUUGGAGCUAGGGUUAGGGUUAGGGUUAGGGUUGGAGUUAGGGUUAGUGUUGGAGCUAGGGUUAGGGUUGGGCUUGGAGCUAGGAUUUUUCUGAGUGCACUGAACCAACUCCCGAGUCUCUAGGACAUUCCUAAAAAAAAUUUGAUUUUUUCCCAUAGGAAUGCAUGGGUUAGGGUUAUGGUUAGGGUUAGGGUUGGAGCUAGGGUUAGGGUUAGGGUUAGGGUUGGAGUUAGGGUUAGUGUUGGAGCUAGGGUUAGGGUUGGGCUUGGAGCUAGGAUUUUUCUGAGUGCACUGAACCAACUCCCGAGUCUCUAGGACAUUCCUAAAAAAAUUUGAUUUUUUUCCCAUAGGAAUGCAUGGGUUAGGGUUAUGGUUAGGGUUAGGGUUGGAGCUAGGGUUAGGGUUAGGGUUAGGGUUGGAGUUAGGGUUAGUGUUGGAGCUAGGGUUAGGGUUGGGCUUGGAGCUAGGAUUUUUCUGAGUGCACUGAACCAACUCCCGAGUCUCUAGGACAUUCCUAAAAAAAUUUGAUUUUUUCCCAUAGGAAUGCAUGGGUUAGGGUUAGGGUUAGGGUUGGAGCUAGGGUUAGGGUUAGGGUUAGGGUUGGAGUUAGGGUUAGUGUUGGAGCUAGGGUUAGGGUUGGGCUUGGAGCUAGGAUUUUUCUGAGUGCACUGAACCAACUCCCGAGUCUCUAGGACAUUCCUAAAAAAAUUUGAUUUUUUCCCAUAGGAAUGCAUGGGUUAGGGUUAUGGUUAGGGUUAGGGUUGGAGCUAGGGUUAGGGUUAGGGUUAGGGUUGGAGUUAGGGUUAGUGUUGGAGCUAGGGUUAGGGUUGGGCUUGGAGCUAGGAUUUUUCUGAGUGCACUGAACCAACUCCCGAGUCUCUAGGACAUUCCUAAAAAAAUUUGAUUUUUUCCCAUAGGAAUGCAUGGGUUAGGGUUAUGGUUAGGGUUAGGGUUGGAGCUAGGGUUAGGGUUAGGGUUAGGGUUGGAGUUAGGGUUAGUGUUGGAGCUAGGGUUAGGGUUGGGCUUGGAGCUAGGAUUUUUCUGAGUGCACUGAACCAACUCCCGAGUCUCUAGGACGUUCCUAAAAAAAUUUGAUUUUUUCCCAUAGGAAUGCAUGGGUUAGGGUUAGGGUUAGGGUUGGAGCUAGGGUUAGGGUUAGGGUUAGGGUUGGAGUUAGGGUUAGUGUUGGAGCUAGGGUUAGGGUUGGGCUUGGAGCUAGGAUUUUUCUGAGUGCACUGAACCAACUCCCGAGUCUCUAGGACAUUCCUAAAAAAAUUUGAUUUUUUCCCAUAGGAAUGCAUGGGUUAGGGUUAGGGUUAGGGUUGGAGCUAGGGUUAGGGUUAGGGUUGCAGUUAGGGUUAGUGUUGGAGCUAGGGUUAGGGUUGGGCUUGGAGCUAGGAUUUUUCUGAGUGCACUGAACCAACUCCCGAGUCUCUAGGACAUUCCUAAAAAAAUUUGAUUUUUUCCCAUAGGAAUGCAUGGGUUAGGGUUAUGGUUAGGGUUAGGGUUGGAGCUAGGGUUAGGGUUAGGGUUAGGGUUGGAGUUAGGGUUAGUGUUGGAGCUAGGGUUAGGGUUGGGCUUGGAGCUAGGAUUUUUCUGAGUGCACUGAACCAACUCCCGAGUCUCUAGGACGUUCCUAAAAAAAUUUGAUUUUUUCCCAUAGGAAUGCAUGGGUUAGGGUUAGGGUUAGGGUUGGAGCUAGGGUUAGGGUUAGGGUUAGGGUUGGAGUUAGGGUUAGUGUUGGAGCUAGGGUUAGGGUUGGGCUUGGAGCUAGGAUUUUUCUGAGUGCACUGAACCAACUCCCGAGUCUCUAGGACGUUCCUAAAAAAAUUUGAUUUUUUCCCAUAGGAAUGCAUGGGUUAGGGUUAGGGUUAGGGUUGGAGCUAGGGUUAGGGUUAGGGUUAGGGUUGGAGUUAGGGUUAGUGUUGGAGCUAGGGUUAGGGUUGGGCUUGGAGCUAGGAUUUUUCUGAGUGCACUGAACCAACUCCCGAGUCUCUAGGACAUUCCUAAAAAAAUUUGAUUUUUUCCCAUAGGAAUGCAUGGGUUAGGGUUAGGGUUAGGGUUGGAGCUAGGGUUAGGGUUAGGGUUGCAGUUAGGGUUAGUGUUGGAGCUAGGGUUAGGGUUGGGCUUGGAGCUAGGAUUUUUCUGAGUGCACUGAACCAACUCCCGAGUCUCUAGGACAUUCCUAAAAAAAUUUGAUUUUUUCCCAUAGGAAUGCAUGGGUUAGGGUUAUGGUUAGGGUUAGGGUUGGAGCUAGGGUUAGGGUUAGGGUUAGGGUUGGAGUUAGGGUUAGUGUUGGAGCUAGGGUUAGGGUUGGGCUUGGAGCUAGGAUUUUUCUGAGUGCACUGAACCAACUCCCGAGUCUCUAGGACGUUCCUAAAAAAAUUUGAUUUUUUCCCAUAGGAAUGCAUGGGUUAGGGUUAGGGUUAGGGUUGGAGCUAGGGUUAGGGUUAGGGUUAGGGUUGGAGUUAGGGUUAGUGUUGGAGCUAGGGUUAGGGUUGGGCUUGGAGCUAGGAUUUUUCUGAGUGCACUGAACCAACUCCCGAGUCUCUAGGACAUUCCUAAAAAAAAUUGAGUUUUUCCCAUAGGAAUGCAUGGGUUAGGGUUAGGGUUAGGGUUGGAGCUAGGGUUAGGGUUAGGGUUAGGGUUGGAGUUAGGGUUAGUGUUGGAGCUAGGGUUAGGGUUGGGCUUGGAGCUAGGAUUUUUCUGAGUGCACUGAACCAACUCCCGAGUCUCUAGGACAUUCCUAAAAAAUUUGAUUUUUUCCCAUAGGAAUGCAUGGGUUAGGGUUAUGGUUAGGGUUAGGGUUGGAGCUAGGGUUAGGGUUAGGGUUAGGGUUGGAGUUAGGGUUAGUGUUGGAGCUAGGGUUAGGGUUGGGCUUGGAGCUAGGAUUUUUCUGAGUGCACUGAACC